Molecule: long non-coding RNA, 1249 nt
Filed under: Delphinapterus leucas (beluga whale)
Lineage: Eukaryota; Metazoa; Chordata; Mammalia; Artiodactyla; Monodontidae
Description: lncRNA (ENSDLEG00000011250.1)
Source: RNAcentral
CUGGGAGACUGGGCCGAUGCAGAGUUUAGGGGCCCUGGAUAGAGACUGAGAAGCAGGGGGGAGGCGGGGCGGGUUAGUGGUGUAGGGCUAGGGUCUGUGGUUAGGGAGGGGGCCCCACAUUCAGGAGAGGACGGAGAGCGACGGUGGGGACUGCCCUGGGGACCAUGUCCACCACCCCGCCCCCUUACGCCCUUCCACUUCCAGUCUUGGCGGCGGAUGAGGCCAAGCUCGCGGACCCAGGUAAGCUGGUCAGAAUGCUGCAGUCGCCAAGCCCCGCGGGCACGUCCCAGUGACUCAGCCCUUGCCGGGAAGGGGGAGUCCGCCCCGCUCCCCAGAAUUUCCAUACAACAGACUGAUCCGGGCUGGCUCCCGGAGUUCCAGGCCGAGCCCCGCACCAGGCUGCGCGGCCGCGGGAGCCGGACCCCUUCCUCCCGGCCCGGGGGCCCCCCACUUCCGGCCGAAGCCACCUGGCCUCAUCGCGGGGACGCGGCCUCGGGUGGCGAAAGCCCUGGGGACCGCAGCGGUCCUGGCCUCGACGGCGCCGCGAGGACCUUUGAGCGUCGUCCCGGGCCGAUGUCCCAGGUGAGUGGCCAGCGCCCCCCUCACUGCGACGCGCCCCAUGGAGCCCCCAGCGCAGCCCCCGGCCCAGGUAGGACCGGGGAUGGAGAGCUAGACUGGACGAGAGCCGGGUAGGGGGUUGGGGGCGGUGGUCAUUCUCCCCCCUCCUCCCUGAGAAGCGGGGAGAGGGUUCGGGGAAGCUUGAGUGGAGGUGGAGGCGAGGAAUCUGGGUAUCGGGGACCGGGUCCAAGGAGAGUGGAGGGCUGAGGCGAUGGGGGUAGGGCCCGAACGGAGGCGGUGGCCGCGCCAAGUUGGCUCCAACACUCCCCACUCCCAACACCAGACACACACACGCAGUGUCUGUCUGUCCGUCUGGGAUUUGUGUCCCAGCCUUUUCUGCCCAGUGUGUAAAUAUUUAUGGGGGCCUCAGGCGGUGUGGGGGUGUCUGAGUCUUUCUCUCCUUCCCUUCCCCCAACCCAGCCAGAGCCUAGUGCUUCCAGAAAACUUUUGUCCGACAGGACCCGGCCCCUCCCCUCCUUGCCAUAUCGUCUCGCUCGUCUUCCUCCCCACCGGGGCCCGGCCAGUCCCCACCACCUCUACCCUGCAGGGACGACACACACACACACACACACACACACACACACACACACACACAUACACACACACACGUUUUAUCUCCUUCUCCGCCUCU